RNAcentral lists this transfer RNA (76 nucleotides) under Bryobacterales bacterium. RNAcentral describes it as "tRNA-Lys". It matches the Rfam family "tRNA". Rfam says of the family: Transfer RNA (tRNA) molecules are approximately 80 nucleotides in length. Their secondary structure includes four short double-helical elements and three loops (D, anti-codon, and T loops). Lineage: Bacteria; Pseudomonadati; Acidobacteriota; Terriglobia; Bryobacterales. The record is from RNAcentral.
GAGCGCGUAGCUCAAUUGGUAGAGCAUCGCCCUUUUAAGGCGGGGGUUGUGGGUUCGAUCCCCACCGCGCUCACCA